RNAcentral lists this ribosomal RNA (405 nucleotides) under uncultured bacterium. RNAcentral describes it as "bacterial SSU rRNA". It matches the Rfam family "Bacterial small subunit ribosomal RNA", at positions 355 to 776 of the family's 1533-position model. The record is from RNAcentral.
UAGGGAAUAUUGGACAAUGGGCGAAAGCCUGAUCCAGCAAUGCCGCGUGAAUGAUGAAGGCCUUAGGGUUGUAAAGUUCUUUUAGUAGGGAAGAUAAUGACGGUACCUACAGAAAAAGCCCCGGCUAACUCCGUGCCAGCAGCCGCGGUAAGACGGAGGGGGCUAGCGUUGUUCGGAAUUACUGGGCGUAAAGAGCGCGUAGGCGGAUUAGUAAGUUGGGAGUGAAAUCCCGGGGCUUAACCUCGGAACAGCUUUCAAAACUGCUAGUCUUUGAGUGUAGUAGGGGAUGAUGGAAUUCCUAGUGUAGAGGUGAAAUUCUUAGAUAUUAGGAGGAACACCGGUGGCGAAGGCGGUCAUCUGGGCUACAACUGACGCUGAGGCGCGAAAGCGUGGGGAGCAAACAGG